This 600-nucleotide ribosomal RNA is filed under the name uncultured bacterium. RNAcentral describes it as "bacterial SSU rRNA". It matches the Rfam family "Bacterial small subunit ribosomal RNA", at positions 77 to 680 of the family's 1533-position model. The record is from RNAcentral.
UUGCUGGAUGCUGACGAGCGGCGGACGGGUGAGUAAUGCAUAGGAAUCUGCCCGAUAGUGGGGGAUAACCUGGGGAAACCCAGGCUAAUACCGCAUACGUCCUACGGGAGAAAGGGGGCUUCGGCUCCCGCUAUCGGAUGAGCCUAUGUCGGAUUAGCUAGUUGGUGAGGUAACGGCUCACCAAGGCAACGAUCCGUAGCUGGUCUGAGAGGAUGAUCAGCCACAUCGGGACUGAGACACGGCCCGAACUCCUACGGGAGGCAGCAGUGGGGAAUAUUGGACAAUGGGGGCAACCCUGAUCCAGCCAUGCCGCGUGUGUGAAGAAGGCCCUCGGGUUGUAAAGCACUUUCAGCGAGGAAGAACGCCUAGCGGUUAAUACCCGCUAGGAAAGACAUCACUCGCAGAAGAAGCACCGGCUAACUCCGUGCCAGCAGCCGCGGUAAUACGGAGGGUGCAAGCGUUAAUCGGAAUUACUGGGCGUAAAGCGCGCGUAGGUGGCUUGAUAAGCCGGUUGUGAAAGCCCCGGGCUCAACCUGGGAACGGCAUCCGGAACUGUCAAGCUAGAGUGCAGGAGAGGAAGGUAGAAUUCCCGGUGUAGCG